RNAcentral lists this ribosomal RNA (465 nucleotides) under Vreelandella stevensii. RNAcentral describes it as "partial 16S ribosomal RNA". It matches the Rfam family "Bacterial small subunit ribosomal RNA", at positions 338 to 795 of the family's 1533-position model. The record is from RNAcentral. Lineage: Bacteria; Pseudomonadati; Pseudomonadota; Gammaproteobacteria; Oceanospirillales; Halomonadaceae.
CCUACGGGUGGUUGCAGUGGGGAAUAUUGGACAAUGGGGGCAACCCUGAUCCAGCCAUGCCGCGUGUGUGAAGAAGGCCCUCGGGUUGUAAAGCACUUUCAGUGAGGAAGAACGCCUGGUGGUUAAUACCCAUCAGGAAAGACAUCACUCACAGAAGAAGCACCGGCUAACUCCGUGCCAGCAGCCGCGGUAAUACGGAGGGUGCGAGCGUUAAUCGGAAUUACUGGGCGUAAAGCGCGCGUAGGUGGCUUGAUAAGCCGGUUGUGAAAGCCCCGGGCUCAACCUGGGAACGGCAUCCGGAACUGUCAAGCUAGAGUGCAGGAGAGGAAGGUAGAAUUCCCGGUGUAGCGGUGAAAUGCGUAGAGAUCGGGAGGAAUACCAGUGGCGAAGGCGGCCUUCUGGACUGACACUGACACUGAGGUGCGAAAGCGUGGGUAGCAAACAGGAUUAGAUACCCCGGUAGUC